Molecule: ribosomal RNA, 429 nt
Filed under: uncultured bacterium
Lineage: Bacteria
Description: bacterial SSU rRNA
Rfam family: Bacterial small subunit ribosomal RNA
Source: RNAcentral
UCGAGGAUCAUUCGCAAUGCGCGAAAGCGUGACGGUGCGACGCCGCGUGCAGGAUGAAGGCCUUCGGGUCGUAAACUGCUGUCAUGAGGGAACAAUGUCCGGAAUGCUAACAUCAUUUCGGGGUGAUAGUACCUCAAGAGGAAGCCACGGCUAACUCUGUGCCAGCAGCCGCGGUAAUACAGAGGCGGCAAGCGUUGUUCGGAUUUACUGGGCGUAAAGGGUGCGUAGGCGGUUCUGUGUGUCGGAUGUGAAAUCUCACAGCUCAACUGUGGAAUUGCAUUCGAAACUACAGGGCUGGAGUACAGGAGAGGAGAGCGGAAUUCUUGGUGUAGCGGUGAAAUGCGUAGAUAUCAAGAGGAACACCGGUGGCGAAGGCGGCUCUCUGGACUGAUACUGACGCUGAGGCACGAAAGCUGGGGGAGCAAACAG